AAUUGUUAUAUGUAUCCAGUGACCAUACUGUAAAGUUAUUUUCCAUUUAACUUCACCAGUUUUAGAUUAUUUUUAUUCAAAAUCGCUGAAUUUUCACAUUUGCCGUUCAAAUACUGAGAAGAGACUUGCAGUGAGUCACAGCCAGCUGAGCCUCACCAUUGAUUGCGCAAUGACUCGGCUAACUGCUGGCAGUUGUGCAGUGAGACCGUAUUGCUAUAUGAAUUAUAUUAUACAUUUCCAUAGUUUAGUUAGCUGAGGUAUAUAAUGUACAGUGAAAAUUGUCAACAACUGUAUGUGUGUAACGUAUUUCUUGUGCUGGGCAAUCAUAAAAGGGCUGUGAAGACGCACUGUGUGAAGCUUGCCUCCUGGUGGUAGAGGGCGCUAGUGAUCCCAGAGAUCAUUCUUGCCUACUCGGCUAGGCCUGUGGACAUCUGAAGCCGGUGCCGACCAUCAGGGGUGAGUUGCGACGAAAGAGUGUGUCGAUGUUGAGAUAUUAAGCCGAGUUGGCCAGGUCCCUAACUCUUGGAUGGCUAGCUUUAGAUAGGCUUCGAGCCCGAGCCCAAGGAUCUCCACCUCCUCAACCCCUGAACUCCACCUGCUCUGGUCGGGCCGGUAGGCGGCUUAUAGCCGAACCCCUUGCCUCGCAUUUCAUUGCUCUGCGGCCUUAUGCACUACCUCAUACACAACCUGCCCAUAGACUGAACUUUCACUACAAACUGCCAUAUCCACAGCGCCAACCCGUGUGGCUGUAUGAACUGCGAAUGCACAUAUGAACUGUGAUCAGUCUCAUAUGGCUCCUAUAAACUUGAAUAACUUUUGAUUUACUUUUCAUGAUACCUGAACUAAACCAACAUUGUUUGUUGAGAUUCCUUUUGGGUUUUUUUCUUUUGUU
Molecule: long non-coding RNA, 892 nt
Organism: Nerophis ophidion (straightnose pipefish)
Lineage: Eukaryota; Metazoa; Chordata; Actinopteri; Syngnathiformes; Syngnathidae
Exons: 3
Source: RefSeq, a predicted model, not a curated record